This 425-nucleotide ribosomal RNA is filed under the name uncultured bacterium. RNAcentral's name for it is "bacterial SSU rRNA". It matches the Rfam family "Bacterial small subunit ribosomal RNA", at positions 338 to 780 of the family's 1533-position model. The record is from RNAcentral.
CCUACGGGUGGCAGCAGUGGGGAAUAUUGGACAAUGGGCGCAAGCCUGAUCCAGCAAUGCCGCGUGGGUGAAGAAGGUCUUCGGAUCGUAAAGCCCUUUCGACAGGGACGAUGAUGACGGUACCUGUAGAAGAAGCCCCGGCUAACUUCGUGCCAGCAGCCGCGGUAAUACGAAGGGGGCUAGCGUUGCUCGGAAUUACUGGGCGUAAAGGGCGCGUAGGCGGCUUAGUCAGUCAGGCGUGAAAUUCCUGGGCUUAACCUGGGGGCUGCGUUUGAGACGGCUGAGCUAGAGGGUAGGAGAGGGUCGUGGAAUUCCCAGUGUAGAGGUGAAAUUCGUAGAUAUUGGGAAGAACACCGGUGGCGAAGGCGGCGACCUGGCCUAUUACUGACGCUGAGGCGCGACAGCGUGGGGAGCAAACAGGAUUA